Molecule: ribosomal RNA, 256 nt
Filed under: uncultured bacterium
Lineage: Bacteria
Description: partial 16S ribosomal RNA
Rfam family: Bacterial small subunit ribosomal RNA
Source: RNAcentral
UACGGAGGGGCGAGCGUUGUCCGAAGUUACUGGCGUAAAGCGCGCGUAGGCGGGUUGGCAAGUCCGCUGUGAAAGCCCGAGGCUUAACCUCGGCGGGUCGGUGGAAACUGCCAUUCUUGAGUGCGGAAGAGGGAAGUGGAAUUCCUGGUGUAGCGGUGAAAUGCGUAGAUAUCAGGAAGAACACCGGUAGCGAAGGCGGCUUCCUGGUCCGUAACUGACGCUGAGGCGCGAAAGCGUGGGGAGCAAACAGGAUUAG